AUUGAACGCUGGCGGCAGGCCUAACACAUGCAAGUCGAACGGUAGCACAGAGAGCUUGCUCUCGGGUGACGAGUGGCGGACGGGUGAGUAACGUCUGGGAAACUGCCCGAUGGAGGGGGAUAACUACUGGAAACGGUAGCUAAUACUGCAUAACGUCGCAAGACCAAAGUGGGGGACCUUCGGGCCUCACACCAUCGGAUGUGCGCAGAUGGGAUUAGCUAGUAGGUGGGGCAAUGGCUCACCUAGGCGGCGAUCCCUAGCCGUCCAGAGAGGAUUGCCAGCCCCGCUGGAACUGGGACACGAUCCAGACACCUACGGGAGACAGCAGUGGGGAAUAUUGCACAAUGGGCGCCAGCCUGAUGCAGCCAUGCCGCGUGUAUGAAGAAGGCCUUCAGGUUGUAAAGUACUUUCAGCGGGGAGGAAGGCGGUGAAGUUAAUAACUUCACCGAUUGACGUUACCCGCAGAAGAAGCACCGGCUAACUCCGUGCCAGCCGCCGCUGUAA
Molecule: ribosomal RNA, 504 nt
Filed under: uncultured bacterium
Lineage: Bacteria
Description: partial 16S ribosomal RNA
Rfam family: Bacterial small subunit ribosomal RNA
Source: RNAcentral